AACAUCGCGCACCUGCGGGAACCUGCGGAGGGAUCAUUAAUGAUUGGUGGCUGUUGCUGACUAGUGUUUCUAGUAUGUGCACGCCACACCUUCAAUCCCACUUACACCUGUGCACCUUCUGUAAUAGAUCUAUGUGGAUACGGAGAUAUGAAAGUUUGCGCUCUCGUACUCUGUUGAAACAGUCUACUACGUUUUUUUACACACACACAAUAGUCAUUGAAUGUAUUUUUUAUUCUUAUG
This 240-nucleotide unclassified non-coding RNA is filed under the name soil metagenome. RNAcentral's name for it is "partial contains 5.8S ribosomal RNA, internal transcribed spacer 2, and large subunit ribosomal RNA". The record is from RNAcentral.